UUUGGUUCUUAUCCACAGCCUGUUCCAUCUUAUAUGUCUCCUCCAUAUGUGCCUACACCAGCAGCUCCUCCUGCUACUAAUGAUGGUCUCAUUCAGCACAUUCAGGAUUAUUCACCACAGCAACUUCAACAACUUAUAUCACAAUUUAACACUCAAGUAUCAGUUCCAGAGCCUUUAACUACUUCUAAUACAGCAAAGGUCACUGAACAUGGCUUUAUGGCUCAGACAUCAACUUCUGGUACUAUUUCCUUUCCUUCAACUAGUCUUAAAUACGAGAAUAAUGAUCUCAUUUUUCAAACACAUACUCUCUCUUCUUUACAAAAAUUACUUCCACAUGAUGCUUGGAUUAUUGACAGUGGAGCUUCUAGCCAUGUGUGUUCUGAUCUAGCAAUGUUUAGGGAAUUAGUACAUGUUUCUAGUAUCACAGUGACUCUUCCGAAUGGUACUAGGGUUCCUAUUACACACACUGGCACAAUUUGCAUUUCACAAACAUUGAUAUUGCAUAAUGUACUUCAUGUCCCUGAUUUUAAAUUCAAUUUCAUUAGUGUUAGUUGUUUGGUUAAAUCUCUUUUCUGUUCUGCUCAUUUCUUUCCAACUUGUUGUCUUAUUCAGGAACUUUCUC
RNAcentral lists this long non-coding RNA (622 nucleotides) under Capsella rubella. RNAcentral describes it as "long non-coding RNA (CRUB_LNC001159)". The record is from RNAcentral. Lineage: Eukaryota; Viridiplantae; Streptophyta; Magnoliopsida; Brassicales; Brassicaceae.